Long non-coding RNA from Sebastes umbrosus (honeycomb rockfish), 623 nucleotides. RefSeq lists it as uncharacterized. NCBI's taxonomy places the organism in Eukaryota, Metazoa, Chordata, Actinopteri, Perciformes, Sebastidae. The record is from RefSeq and is a predicted model, not a curated record. The transcript has 3 exons.
UCUGCCGACACUACUUGGCUAAUAGAAAAUCAAAUUGCAGCGGGGAAAGAGGCAAUCAGCCCCACUUUGGGCUUUGGGUAUGCAUGUUGUUGUUUUCUCACACUCGGGGGCCAUGUGACCUCGCGAGGAGAGCGCUAUCCCCACUUAACGGGUUUGCCCCACUUGCCCUAAAUGACCUGUCGCCUCUACAAGCAUACAGCAUUUACAUGACACACGGGCGGCGUUGAGGUUGAGGGCCGAUUAGAGCGCAAAAAGCCCGCCGGCCCUGCUCUCUGGCGUCUCUGAGGUGUCCGUCGAUGAGAAGGCAACUUGCCAAUUUUGGCUUUUUUUUUUUUCCCUCUUUAACCCCCCUCUCCUCCCUUCUCCCCGUGUCACCACCAGGGCCGACCUCGCCCCGUCAGGAUCACAAGGAGAAAGUGGUGGAGCCAAAAAGAUAGGGCGUUUGAGUAGAAAUACAGAGCAGGGCAGUGUGUGUGUGGUGUCUGCUUGUUUGUCUGAGAGCAUUGGGGGAAAAAAAAAGGAAGUUGUGGGUUGUGAGGCCGGAAUCUCGGUCACACCUCCGUCUGAAGGUCCAUGAUCUCCUGGCCCACCAGAGGAAUGGUGGCGCUGGUCUUCUCCCACUC